GGAGUAAAUCAGAUAAUCGCGGGGCAAUAGCAACGAGGAAAGUCCGUGCACCACAGAGCAAGGAUGCUUGAUAACGUCAAGUAGGAGUGAUCCUCAGGCAAGUGCAACAGAAAGUAUACCGCCAAAUUUGGUAAGGUUGGAAUGGUGAGGUAAGAGCUCACCAGCUGUCCUAGUGAUAGGCAGGCUAUGUAAACCCCAUCCGGUGCAAGAACAAAAUGGACAUUAGGAGGCUUGCUCGGCCCAGUCCGGAAAUGGUAGUUCGCUUGAACUUGCUAGCAAUAGUAAGUCUAGAUAGAUGAUUAUCCACGACAGAACACGGCUUAUAGGUUUACUCUUUAC
Non-coding RNA from Anaerococcus lactolyticus ATCC 51172, 339 nucleotides. It matches the Rfam family "Bacterial RNase P class A". Rfam says of the family: Ribonuclease P (RNase P) is a ubiquitous endoribonuclease, found in archaea, bacteria and eukarya as well as chloroplasts and mitochondria. Its best characterised activity is the generation of mature 5'-ends of tRNAs by cleaving the 5'-leader elements of precursor-tRNAs. Cellular RNase Ps are ribonucleoproteins. NCBI's taxonomy places the organism in Bacteria, Bacillati, Bacillota, Tissierellia, Tissierellales, Peptoniphilaceae. The record is from Rfam.